RNAcentral lists this ribosomal RNA (474 nucleotides) under uncultured organism. Its description in RNAcentral is "partial 16S ribosomal RNA". It matches the Rfam family "Bacterial small subunit ribosomal RNA", at positions 331 to 797 of the family's 1533-position model. The record is from RNAcentral.
GUACCCUCCUGCGGGAGGCAGCAGUGGGGAAUUUUGAACAAUGGGCGAAAGCCUGAUCCAGCAAUGCCGCGUGUGUGAAGAAGGCCUUCGGGUUGUAAAGCACUUUUGUCCGGAAAGAAAUCCUUGGCUCUAAUACAGUCGGGGGAUGACGGUACCGGAAGAAUAAGCACAGGCUAACUACGUGCCAGCAGCCGCGGUACUACGUAGGGUGCGAGCGUUAAUCGGAAUUACUGGGCGUAAAGCGUGCGCAGGCGGUUUGCUAAGACCGAUGUGAAAUCCCCGGGCUCAACCUGGGAACUGCAUUGGUGACUGGCAGGCUAGAGUAUGGCAGAGGGGGGUAGAAUUCCACGUGUAGCAGUGAAAUGCGUAGAGAUGUGGAGGAAUACCGAUGGCGAAGGCAGCCCCCUGGGCCAAUACUGACGCUCAGGCACGAAAGCGUGGGGAGCAAACAGGAUUAGAAACCCUAGUAGUCCC